Molecule: long non-coding RNA, 3845 nt
Organism: Culex pipiens pallens (northern house mosquito)
Lineage: Eukaryota; Metazoa; Arthropoda; Insecta; Diptera; Culicidae
Exons: 3
Source: RefSeq, a predicted model, not a curated record
UGGUUUUGCUGUGUUUGAAGUUUUCGGUAGUUUGUUUUUUUGCUUUUUAAAAGUUUAAAUUUACUCUUAACUAAUUUCCAUAAUUUUUAAGCAGUCAGUUCUUGCUGAAUCUGUGCCAUGGAAAAUCGAAGCAGCCACCCGAACCCAAAUCUUGAAUGGAUUGGCAGCACUAGAUGCCAAAAUCAGUGAAAUCGAUACCAUCAACAUCGAUCUAUCCUACAUGUCGCUAGGUGGAGCAAAAAUUGUCUCUUCGUUCAUCUUCAGUAGCACCGCGGGCCAGCUGCGGACUGUUUGUGGCGCCUUGUUCGAUGCAGACCAGGAAAAAUCGAACAUUGUCAGCAAAACCUUCACCAAGAUUGAUGUUGUGAGGACUCAAAUGGCUAAGAUGCAAGACGUAGAUAACGGUCUGGAAACAAACUAUGGCAAGGGCAAUGCUGUUUUAAAACGCAAAAUUUGGAAGGCGAUGAACACAAGCGUUGAAGGCAUUUGGAAGGCUUUACGUCCUGAUUCGACGAAAGCUGGUUGAGCGAUGUGUCCAGAAGCAGCUCGAUUAUCUCCCGAACAUCGUGCUGAUGAUGAAAGAAUUGCUUGCACCGUUUCGCGAAGUUGUCUUAGGCCCAAAUCAGAGCUUGAAAUCCUGCAGCAAAGCUGUGGGUGAUAGGUUCUGCUAUUCAGACUUUGGGAGCACGUUUUUGGGCAAUGUACCUGCAACUGAAAUUUCUGAAGAUAUGCGGAUGGUGGAAAAGAUGAACGAGAUUGUGGUAAACAUAUAUUCAACGGUUAAUAAUGAAGUCGGAAGUGCCUUUGACCGCAUUGAUUCGUGUUUGGUGGUAAAUUACCCAAUUGAAGAAGCAAUUGGAAAAUUUGUUAAUGCAAUGAAUGCUUGUGGUAAUAAGACAGUGGUUUAACCCUUUUAGAUCCGAUGGGUUAAUAUUGUGCAAUAUGGUUGAAUGGUCAAAAUAAAGUUGUCCAAAAUUAGUAAGCACAGCUAUUUUUCAGUUCUCCUUUGGGUCCUAAACAACUCCCCAAAAUUUGGGAACACCGGGUUUAGUCCCCACUUUGCACAAAGCAAAGAUUCGGUAUCCGGAACAUCUGGGGUGGCCAUAUUAGGGACAGCAACAUUCUAACAUUUUUGCAAGACCAUCAUCUGGGGCGAAUCGAGUCUACAGUCAGUAUAGGGAAAGCAGGUUUUAGAGUACUUAAUAGUUUGAAAUUUGGUAAUAAUAGUUUUAUCAUAAAGUUCUACCUAAGUCCAAAAACUUUUAAAACCAGUAUCCGGAACAUCCUAUAUUGGUUCUGCGUGACCGGAAGUUGAUCUAUGUGACUCAGAAGUAAAGUGCAAUACUGGUUGAUAGUUUUUGGUAUACUAAUUUUUGACAACAACUUUUUGAGAUAGGUUGUUUUGUGUCCCCUUGACGGGAGAUUAUUUGGAUGAGAUGGGUCACUUUUUUUAAUAUGGCGCAACUUUAAGCACUCAAAUCGGUUGAAAACUGGCUGAGAUAAAUCGAUUUUGCUUUAAAAACACACACACACACACACACGAAGUCCCGAGUCUCUGUGGGAUUAAUCGGGCUAAACAAAAUUAUUUCUAUACUUUUAAAUUUCUCAUGAUUUUCAUCAAUGAAAACUGGUUUGAAUCGGGAAAACGGAAUGCAUUAUUGGAUUCUUUGGACAAUUUUUCAGUAAGAGAAGAUAAAAUUAGUUUGUAAGUAACAAAUUUGAUGUGUUUUUGAAACAAAAUUCUAAAAAACCUUUAAAAUCAUAGACAUUUUUAGUAAACAAAUUUCUCAUAACAUGUGAAAACUUUUGAUUCGUGCUUUGUAUUCAGUUUAAAAUGCAACUUAUCAAAAUUAUAAUGAACAUAACUUGUUUUAAAGAAAUUCAGGCCAAAUUCGAGCUUUAAAGCAAUUUUACGUUAAAGUCCUUGCACCUCAACCAGAGCUUGUGCACUAAGAAUUUUGUUACAGAUAUUUAAGUAUCUUCAAAACUACGGGAACUAUCGAUAUAAUUUUUCAUUCAUCCCCUAAAGUACUGUUUACAAAAUAAUAUACAACAAAUUUUGACUAUUUUUACAAUCAGAUUGUUGCAGGAUUGGGUCCGUUAGUUUGACUAUUUUUGAAUAAGAAGAAAACAACUUCCUUGGGUGCUGUGCACCCUUAAAUAGAUAUUUAUUUUGUUAAAAGCUUAUGAACUUAGUUAACUAAACAAAACAAUUGUUUUUAUUUACUUCAAGCUAUAGCAGCAACCUACAUUUGACGUUAAAAUUAAAUUUGAACCCUUUAAAUCUGAUUUUAACUCAAUGACCCCCUGAUUACGGUAACUGAAAUGUUUUUUUAUGGACCGUGGAUCCCUUUGACUGAUCAUGUUAAAUGGCCCAAACCCCCUUCCCCCCACUCCGUGGAAAAUUAUUAAAAUUAUUCAUACAAAAAAUCCAAUUGCCAAUUUUGAGCCAGUUAAGGUUAAAGGGUCGCUUUUUGCCUUCCUCACCUUACUGAGGAAGAGCUAUAAAAUCACUCGAAAAAUGAACUUCCUAAUUCGACCUCGUGAAGGUGGGUCACGUAUACCUAUCGACUCAGCAUCAUGUUCUGAGCAAAUGUCUGUGUGGAUGUGUGUAGGUGGGUGGACAAAAAAAUUGUCACUCGAUUAUCUCCGGACUGGAUGAACGGAUUUUGACCAUAUUAGUCUCAUUCGAUCCAUCUUGGGGUCCCAUAGGUCUCUAUUUAAAAUCAGCAAGUUUAGUUAAGUACUUCAAAAGUUAUGCUAAAAAAACGAUUUUGGAGUAUGUCCGGAAGAUUGUAAAAAGGGUGGUUUUUGCUAGAAACCCUAUCAUGUUAUACAUUUUCAGAAAGGUAUUAAAAAGACCUUUCCAAUGAGCCCAAAACAUUGAAGAUCUGACAACCCUAUCAAAAGUUAUUAGCACUUAAGUGUUAUUUAUACACUUUUUGGAGGCCGGAUCUCAGAUAUUUCAAUGAAAAUGAUGUCCGGGUCCAUCAUGCAACCCAUCGUUAGUUAGAUAAUCGACGGAUCUUUCAAAUGAGCUUAAAACAUCACGGAUCUGACAACCCUAUCAACAGUUAUUGGCACUUAAGUGUUAUUUAUACACUUUUUGGAGGCCGGAUCUCAGAUAUUUCAGUAAAAAUUAUGUCCGGAUCAAUCAUGUGACCUGUCGUUAGUUAGAUAAUCGAAAGACCUUUCAAAAGAGCCCAAAACAUCACGGAUCUGACAACCCUAUCAAAAGUAAUUGGCACUUAAGUGUUAUUUAUACACUUUUUCGAGGCCGGAUCUCAGAUAUUUCAGUAAAAAUGAUGUCCGGAUUCAUCAUGCGACCUUUCGUUAGUUAGACAAUCGAAAGACCUUUCAAAUGAGCCUUAUACAUCGAGGAUCUGACAACCCUUUUAAAAGUUAUUAGCACUUAUGUGUUAUUUAUACACUUUUUAGAGGUUGGAUUUCAGAUAUUGUGAUAAAAAUAUUGUCUGAAUCUUCCAUGCGAACUAUCGUUGGAUAGGUUUUUUUUAUCAGACCUUGCCGAUGAGCCAGAAAAAUGGAAGGUCUGCGAACUCUCUCAAAAGAAAUGAGCAAUAAAGUUGAUUUGUUAAACAUGUUAAGGGAUUGUUGCUAUUUUUACUGAAUGUAUUGACUUUAUGAAUGUGAGGAAGGCACCAACCACCUAAAGGUGAAUUAAGUAACGUUUUAUCGUUGAAGUUUAUAUGGGGAAAAUCGCGAAAAUAUAUGGGGAAAAACAUCGCUUCAGGAUUUCGGCAGCAGGUGGCGCAGGUCUCGCCCAAAAUUGCCCAAGUGUGAGAUUCUUCUAGGAAGUUCAAUUUCCUACAACUUUGUCGAAGGGU